Molecule: ribosomal RNA, 500 nt
Filed under: uncultured bacterium
Lineage: Bacteria
Description: partial 16S ribosomal RNA
Rfam family: Bacterial small subunit ribosomal RNA
Source: RNAcentral
AUUGAACGCUGGCGGAAUGCUUUACACAUGCAAGUCGAACGGCAGCACGGACUUCGGUCUGGUGGCGAGUGGCGGACGGGUGAGUAAUAUAUCGGAACGUGCCCAGUCGUGGGGGGUAACGUAGCGAAAGCUACGCUAAUACCGCAUACGAUCUACGGAUGAAAGCGGGGGAUCGCAAGACCUCGCGCGAUUGGAGCGGCCGAUAUCAGAUUAGGUAGUUGGUGAGGUAAAGGCUCACCAAGGCGACGAUCUGUAGCUGGUCUGAGAGGACGACCAGCCACACUGGGACUGAGACACGGCCCAGACUCCUACGGGAGGCAGCAGUGGGGAAUUUUGGACAAUGGACGCAAGUCUGAUCCAGCCAUUCCGCGUGCAGGACGAAGGCCUUCGGGUUGUAAACUGCUUUUGUACAGAACGAAAAGGUCUCUAUUAAUACUAGGGGCUCAUGACGGUACUGUAAGAAUAAGCACCGGCUAACUACGUGCCAGCAGCCGCGGUAA